Molecule: ribosomal RNA, 253 nt
Filed under: uncultured bacterium
Lineage: Bacteria
Description: partial 16S ribosomal RNA
Rfam family: Bacterial small subunit ribosomal RNA
Source: RNAcentral
UACGUAGGGGGCAAGCGUUGUCCGGAUUUAUUGGGCGUAAAGAGCGUGUAGGCGGCCAUACAGGUCCGUUGUGAAAACUGGAGGCUUAACCUCCAGACGUCGAUGGAAACCGUAUGGCUAGAGUCCGGAAGAGGAGAGUGGAAUUCCUGGUGUAGCGGUGAAAUGCGCAGAUAUCAGGAGGAACACCGGUGGCGAAGGCGGAUCUCUGGGCCUUACCUGACGCUGAGGCGCGAAAGCUAGGGGAGCGAACAGG